GAUGAAGAACGCAGUGAAAUGCGAUAACUAAUGUGAAUUGCAGAAUUCCGUGAAUCAUCGAGUCUUUGAACGCACAUUGCGCCCCCUGGUAUUCCGGGGGGCAUGCCUGUCCGAGCGUCAUUGCUGCCCUCAAGCACGGCUUGUGUGUUGGGCCCCGUCCUCCGAUCCCGGGGGACGGGCCCGAAAGGCAGCGGCGGCACCGCGUCCGGUCCUCGAGCGUAUGGGGCUUUGUCACCCGCUCUGUAGGCCCGGCCGGCGCUUGCCGAUCAACCCAAAUUUUUAUCCAGGUUGACCUCGGAUCAGGUAGGGAUACCCGCUGAACUUAAGCAUAUCAAUAAGCGGAGGA
RNAcentral lists this unclassified non-coding RNA (346 nucleotides) under soil metagenome. Its description in RNAcentral is "partial contains 5.8S ribosomal RNA, internal transcribed spacer 2, and large subunit ribosomal RNA". The stretch from base 1 to 120 matches the Rfam family "5.8S ribosomal RNA", at positions 35 to 154 of the family's 154-position model. The record is from RNAcentral.